GCAGGAGUCUGAAGUCUGGGUGCUGAAGCUCCUGUGAAGCAUGGGUCUCUGGUUCACUAUCCCAAGGGAAAAUUCAGCUGUGAGUGCAAUGCAAUGGCAAGCCUGGUCCAAAAGUCCCUCCUCUUCUCCCUCUCACUACAUCGGAGGGAUGGCUGGUGCCAGCAGUAACAUCCCAGGAAAGCCACAGCUGGUGCCUCCAUGCACGAGGCAGGCUGCAAGCCCCUCAGCUCUGUGAUCACUGUCAAUAAUGCAUUCACAGGAGAGGAAGGAAGAGCUGGGCAGCCAACAGCACUUUCAGGGCUGCUCAAUGGCACCACUGUCUCUCUGCUCACUGAUGAGGGCUGUGCGUGUGCAGGGGAUCGUAGGCUCCUGGUGAAGAUAUGCCAGUAAGGCUGGCAGGCUGUGUCCUAAGCUCAAGGCGGGCCCAGCCUGGGUUGUCAGGUUUGCUUAGAACAAAGGAAAUCACAUUUCUUCCUGCCUUCCCUUCCUGCCCCGUAUAUAAAUAGCCUCCUCUGUGGCUUAAUGAAGAGGUCCAGAUAGCACACAGCCCCCAGCUGUGCUGCCUGGGGAAGAGUGCAAGGAAAUACUGAGUCUCACAUGGCAGGAGUAGCUCACAGACCUGUUGGAGCUUAUGAAGAGCAGGACUCCUUUAACCACCGUUUCUCAAGCUCCCAGGUUUUUGGAGAUUGAGGUCUGUAUUGUCAUCAACCCUCCACCAAGAUUCUGCCCCUCAUGAAGAUUGGGAAGAGGGACUUCCAUACCAACCAGUUGUGUCUCUUCUCCAGACCCCAGUGUAGACACACCUGGGCAAGGGAUGAAUGCCCUAGAAGAGCUGCCAGCCAGUGACCCUGGAUUCUGAAAUGAAACUCAGCAUCUGCCUGUGCCAUCAUACUCCUGGCUACUGAAAAAAGAAAUAAAAGACAACCAACCAUGUGAGUUUUGAUGUAGUUCUGACCCACUCGUUCACUCUGCAUGCAACAGGCAAGACUGUGCAACAAAGCCUACAAGCUCAGGUUUUCUGUUCAAGUAGAAAUAGAAAUAACUUGAAAAUAUGUGGCAUUCAGCUAGAAACACAAGAAAAAUGCACAGUUCAGGAAGCUAUUAAAAGAGAUGGAAUUCAGUACACCCUGAUUUUUCAAUUCUUGAGGUAUAUUAUACCGGAGUUGCAAGUUCCAAUGUGUAUCAAUAGACCAGCAUUGGUGUAACUUUUAAGUCUAUAGUCUAUUUAGAAACCACCUGUUAAAAGUUAAC
This is a long non-coding RNA of Falco peregrinus (peregrine falcon), 1251 nucleotides long. RefSeq lists it as uncharacterized. Lineage: Eukaryota; Metazoa; Chordata; Aves; Falconiformes; Falconidae. The record is from RefSeq and is a predicted model, not a curated record. The transcript is spliced from 3 exons.